UGGGGAAUUUUGGACAAUGGGGGCAACCCUGAUCCAGCCAUGCCGCGUGAGUGAAGAAGGCCUUCGGGUUGUAAAGCUCUUUCGGACAGAAAGAAAUCGCACGGGUGAAUAAUCCGUGUGGAUGACGGUACUGUAAGAAGAAGCACCGGCUAACUACGUGCCAGCAGCCGCGGUAAUACGUAGGGUGCGAGCGUUAAUCGGAAUUACUGGGCGUAAAGCGUGCGUAGGCGGUUUUGUAAGACAGCUGUGAAAUCCCCGGGCUCAACCUGGGAACUGCGGUUGUGACUGCAAGACUGGAGUACGGCAGAGGGGGGUGGAAUUCCUGGUGUAGCAGUGAAAUGCGUAGAUAUCAGGAGGAACACCGAUGGCGAAGGCAGCCCCCUGGGCCUGUACUGACGCUCAAGCACGAAAGCGUGGGGAGCAAACAGG
This 429-nucleotide ribosomal RNA is filed under the name uncultured bacterium. RNAcentral's name for it is "bacterial SSU rRNA". It matches the Rfam family "Bacterial small subunit ribosomal RNA", at positions 355 to 776 of the family's 1533-position model. The record is from RNAcentral.